CGUUAAACUCCUUUCGACCGAGAUGAACACCUGCGGGAUAAUACUCCCGCAGGCUGACAGUAUCGAGGGAAGCAGCCCCGGCUAACUCCGUGC
This 93-nucleotide ribosomal RNA is filed under the name uncultured bacterium. Its description in RNAcentral is "partial 16S ribosomal RNA". The record is from RNAcentral.